GACGAACGCUGGCGGCGUGCUUGACACAUGCAAGUCGAACGGAAAGGCCUGCUUUCCCUUGUGGAUUGCGGGUACUCGAGUGGCGAACGGGUGAGUAACACGUGAGUGAUCUGCCCCCAACUUGGGUAUAAGCCUGGGAAACUGGGUCUAAUUCCCGAUAGGACUGCAGGGUGGUGCCUGUGGUGGAACACGAUUUUCUAGUGGUUGGGGAUGAGCUCGCGGCCUAUCAGCUUGUUGGUGGGGUAAUGGCCUACCAAGGCGGCGACGGGUAGCCGGCCUGAGAGGGUGGACGGCCACAUUGGGACUGAGAUACGGCCCAGACUCCUACGGGAGGCAGCAGUGGGGAAUAUUACACAAUGGGCGGAAGCCUGAUGCAGCGACGCCGCGUGGGGGAUGACGGCCUUCGGGUUGUAAACUCCUUUCGACCGCGAGGAAGCCACCUGGUUGGAAGGGUGGUGACGGUAGUGGUAGAAGAAGCACCGGCUAACUACGUG
This 494-nucleotide ribosomal RNA is filed under the name uncultured bacterium. RNAcentral's name for it is "partial 16S ribosomal RNA". It matches the Rfam family "Bacterial small subunit ribosomal RNA", at positions 28 to 507 of the family's 1533-position model. The record is from RNAcentral.